AUUGCAGAGGCCGUCAAUCUUUGGCGAAGUAUACUUGCUCUUAAUGGCAACUUUGUUGAGUUCUUGAUAAUCUAUACAUCUCAUAUAUCUGUCUUGUUUCAUGACAAACGAGGCUGGGGCUCCUUAAAUGUAACACCUCCAAAUUUUCAUAAAUCUUGAAGUGUUACCAAGAACUCACCUUUCUUUGUAUUAAAUGCGUAAUAAUAAUAAUAAUAAUAAUAAUAAUAAUAAUAAUAAUAAUAAUAAUAAUAAUAAUAAUAAUAAUAAUGACUAGAAUAUUCACAUAUUUAAAUUAAUACAUGGAAAUUGUAUCCUAAAAAAAAAUAAUCUCCUCGCUAAUUAAAUGACAUGUCCUUGAACAAACUAAAGUAGUAAAUUGGAAGAUAAAAAACGUAAUGCUUUUUUGUUUUUUGAAUCCUCUUGGCAGUCUGUAUCACCAUCUUGCCGCAUUCCAAUCGACCCGAACUAACCUGAAAAAUUAUUAUAAAAGCGAGUAUUUAAAUACCAAGUAAGAUAUGUACAGUUUUCAUAGACAAUUAUAUAACAAUUAAAUAAAUACUUUAUACCACUCUUUUCUUAUGGAGUAUAUCGGUGACAAAGUGACACACCCAUCAUAGAUCCUCUUAAAUACUCAACGAAUUUCAUAUCUCUUAUUAACGAACUUGAAGGUCCACUAACAAUUCAUGCAUAUUUAAUUAAAUACAUAAAAGCAUAAUAAAACAAACUACUUUUAAAAAAGUAUUUUACCUUGAUAGAUUUGAAAAGUUGUAAUACAUCAUAAAAUAAUGCAUGUGAAAACCUUUUUCUUUUCCUCUCUCUUCUAUGGCUCUCU
Molecule: long non-coding RNA, 832 nt
Filed under: Olea europaea (common olive)
Lineage: Eukaryota; Viridiplantae; Streptophyta; Magnoliopsida; Lamiales; Oleaceae
Description: long non-coding RNA (OEUR_LNC008366)
Source: RNAcentral